UAAUUCCGAUAACGAACGAGACUCUCCCCUGCUAACUAGUCGGUUGGAUCUUGAUCGCAAUUUAUUUUGCAUCGCUACGAGUUGUUCCCCGAGUCACUCUGGGCGUUGCGGUGCGUGUGUGUGGUGCUCGUGCGUUGUUGUGCUUUCGGGUGCUCUCGCGCUUGUGCUGUGUGUGCGUUGCUGUGCGUCUAGAGCCUUGGAUCGUUCACUCCAAGUCCGCCGCUUAUGAUUAAAAUUCUUCUUAGAGGGAUUCACGGUACUGAAACCGUAAGAGACUGAGAGCAAUAACAGGUCUGUGAUGCCCUUAGAUGUUCUGGGCCGCACGCGCGCUACAAUGCCGGGCACAGCAGGUAUUUUUCCUACUCCGACAGGAGCGGGUAACCCUGUGAAAGCCCUUGUUCUUAUAUAUAAUGCGUUUGGUUUCGGCCAAACGUUACUGGCGUGAUUGGGCCUGGGUCUUGCAAUUUUUUCCCACAAACGAGGAAUGCCUUGUAGCGGCGAGUCACUGAGCUCGCCGUGACUCAGUCCCUGCCCUUUG
Molecule: ribosomal RNA, 538 nt
Filed under: Orchomenella gerulicorbis
Lineage: Eukaryota; Metazoa; Arthropoda; Malacostraca; Amphipoda; Lysianassidae
Description: partial 18S ribosomal RNA
Rfam family: Eukaryotic small subunit ribosomal RNA
Source: RNAcentral